UUUUUCUUGAGAGAAAUAUAGAAGAUUGAAAGCUUGUCCUACUCUUCCUCUGUCUGAUAUCUCUAUCCCCUCUUCCUAUCAACAUCAACAUUUGGUAUCAGAGCAUAGGUUAAGCUAUGACUUCUUCCUCAAGUGUCAUCCAACUCCAGAUCCCCAGAUUGACAAAAGAAAAUUAUGACAUAUGGUGCAUCCAAAUGAAGGUUCUUCUAGGCUCCC
RNAcentral lists this long non-coding RNA (216 nucleotides) under Musa acuminata (dwarf banana). Its description in RNAcentral is "long non-coding RNA (MACU_LNC008214)". The record is from RNAcentral. Lineage: Eukaryota; Viridiplantae; Streptophyta; Magnoliopsida; Zingiberales; Musaceae.